GGCUGUUUGGUGCGGGCCGGAUGUGCGUCAUCUGUUCUGUGCCUGCGCUCUUCCUGUUUACCGGCAUUCAACAGAGGUCUGUGGUUAAAACACAGCCGUUUGGGCAUUUUAACACCGCUUGUGUCAUUUUGUGGGGCUUUGCGUACACUGGAGAGUCUAUUGUAAACAACCGUUACGUGCGGUCUGGCUCGUUACACUGCCUAGUCCCAGGAGCUGUGUGUCCGACGGCAGUGAGGCUUUCCUUCACCGUGUGCUGUGUUAUGCUGUGUGAGCACCACUGAUAAAAUCACGGGUAUUGGAGUGAGUGUGUGUGUGCACUUAUGAGUGUGUGUGUGUGUGUGUGCACUUAGUGUGAUUCUCCUCUUUUGCUCCCUCUCUUAGCCCAUUUGAUGCCAAUAGGCUACAGCUCCGAAGUAAAUGUGAAUCCUUAUUGUGGAUUGUGAUUUCCAGCUUAGUAAUUGGCUGGGUGACUAUUAUUCCUGCAUUUUAAACUUUUGUACUAAUAAACAAACUCUAUUUUGCUACCCACGUCUCUUGCUCAUUUU
This is a long non-coding RNA of Cyprinus carpio carpio, 545 nucleotides long. NCBI's taxonomy places the organism in Eukaryota, Metazoa, Chordata, Actinopteri, Cypriniformes, Cyprinidae. The record is from Ensembl.